RNAcentral lists this ribosomal RNA (310 nucleotides) under uncultured bacterium. Its description in RNAcentral is "partial 16S ribosomal RNA". It matches the Rfam family "Bacterial small subunit ribosomal RNA", at positions 1 to 292 of the family's 1533-position model. The record is from RNAcentral.
ACUCGGUCUCGCGAAUGCUCUAGAUUANAGUUGAUCAUGGCUCAGAUUGAACGCUGGUCGGCAAGCCUAACACAUGCAAGUCGAGCGGUAGCACAGAGAGCUUGCUCUCGGGUGACGAGCGGCGGACGGGUGAGUAAUGUCUGGGAAACUGCCUGAUGGAGGGGGAUAACUACUGGAAACGGUAGCUAAUACCGCAUAACGUCGCAAGACCAAAGAGGGGGGACCUUCGGGCCUCUUGCCAUCAGAUNUGCCAGAUUGGGAUUAAGCUAAGUAAGGUUGGGGGGUAACCGGGUUCAACCCUAAGGCGGAC